UACCUCAAGUGAUUGUAGAUGGAGAACUAGUGUGUCUAAGUGUGUUUGUUGGUGUUUCUGAUGAAGUCUGUGUGAGUGAAGAAUAUGAUUUUAGUGAUAAAUUUGUGUAUGUCUGAUUUUGAAGUGUGUGUAACUGUAUACCAUGGACUUGUACAGCACAUUGAAAACGUGUGUUCACCUCUCCAGCUUUCAACGAGUAUGCUCAAAGUAUUUUCUUUAUUAAAAUGAUUUGACACUUUUUCCUUUUCUGAUAGAUUUGCCAGCGAGUAAGAAUACUUUUGUAACUUUUAAUUUACAUAUAAACUAUAUAAAUUAUGUAAGUUAUACAGUUUUGUCUCUUUUUUAGCAGGGGCUGUAAAACCGGAAAAAAUAGCAUAACUGGCAAGAUGGAGUUUUCUAAAAGCAGAUAAAAUUUUGAUGCUGAGUUUUAAAAGAAAAUACAUGCAAGACAAUGUUUUGCAAGAUGAGAAAGAAAUGGCAAAUAGCAAAACUUAAUGUGUUUCAUUAGCUUACAGGAAUCAGAUUUUUAAAAAUGGGACUUUUUCUGACUUACUAUUUUCUUUUUUAAUUUUUUUUUUACUGACUUACUGACUAACUUUCACCAGGAAAGUUAUUUGUUUGCAUUGUAUUCCUUCAUAACAUGUUUAACUCACUACAUGAAGGAAUAUUAGGUGAUAUGUAGUGCAAGUUAUGAUAUAUAUAAAAUAGGUAAGAACUAGUGUUAACUAGAAAUGAUACAGAAUCAAUACUAUUAGCUUGUCUUGGCUUUCCUCCUGAUCAUUCUUCUGCUACAAGAACUUGUCCCCAUGGAUUAUUUUGGGAAAAUGUUUUUGAAUCAUUCUCUGUGGUAAUAACAGCAUGGCAUCAGAAACACCCAAUGUAAGUAUAAUCAGAAGAAAAUGAUGGAAUUUAUAUACUUGAAAGAAAACACUUUUUUCAGGUUGAUAUAUUAUUGGGAAAAAAAAAUCAAUGAAAUAUACUAGUUUUUCACAGCAAUGAUGUACCAUUCUUGCCAAAGCAUUGACUAGUUAAGAUUUUGAUGUCCAGAGCUGCUCUUAAAGGUGAAAAAUUUGGGCUUAUUUCCUGGAACCUUGGCCAAUGGAGAGGACAGUUAGUUUAAGAGAUGUGCAAAUGCUCCUGUGCGUAGAUAAGAUGAGAACAAAAACUCAUCUCUUAUGUUCAUGCCGAGUUAACUGAAAUUACUGGUUUGUAAGAGGGGAAGAUGUAUUCUUCAGAGUGGCAGAAAGCAUGGCCAUUAAGACUUCCGUUUGGGAUCUGGGAAACUUCAGUGAGUCCCUGGUUUUAAUCAGCUGUAUUUUUUAUUCAGACCAGGAACUUAAAUGAGGUCCUCUUGUGACCUAUAUAGCUUUCUAAAGCAAGAGUGAUUCUUUUGCGUGGGGUAACUCUGGAGUGCAUCAAGGAGAUGAAACAAGCAAUGCUCUGAUGAAUACUUAAUCCCUCACAUGAGUCUGCUCCGUUAGGAGAGGUUGAGACGAGUACCCUGCAGCAGGCCUGUGGUGCUCAGUUUUGGAUAUUGGCAUGCCAAGAAAUUUAAUUAGAUAUCCCAAGCCCAGUACUCUCAACAUCAAACUACAGAACAGUAUGACACAGCUCACUUGCAUGCUCUUUCUCUCUCUCUUGUUCAAAGAGUAUUGGGUUUUCUGUUGUGGGAAAAGGAGAUGAUAAAAACAAACAAGUAGUUUUGUGACAUGGGAAAGAGCUUUCUUCCUGUCUCUAUGUUUCAAUGGAUCAAGGGGGUUUCUCUUCUAGCAGAAGACCUUAUUGCACAACUUAGGAUACUGUCUCGUUCCUGAACCAAAGAUACCUAUCCGACUUUUCAGUCUCAGAAAUAGCUUUUUUAAAUGUGAAAAAUGGUUUUAUUUCAGUUUUUUUCCUUGGUGAUUGCAAGUACCACUCCUGUCUCUUCAUUUUUAACCACCCAGUCUUAACAAUCUAGAUUUGUUCUAUCCAAUCUUAACAAUACAGAGUUGUUUUCUUUUCUCUAUGUAUGCAGCUGACAGAGAUUCCAAGUAAGGAACUCUAUUAUAAAGAAUUAAUCUUGAUGUGUAAAAUGGAAUUUUAAAAUGUGCAUGAUAAAAGAAGUUGUAUUUCAUUUCUGCUUAUGCUUAAAUAAUGAAUUCAUUUAUAGCAUUAUAUCCUAGAAAAAUAAUUCUGCAUAGGCCAUGACUUGAAUCUAAUUAGAAAACUGCUGUAUUAUAGAAAUGCAUUCCACACAGAGUAGUUUCUGUAUUUAUCAGAUAAGCAGUAUAUGUCAUCGACUAAGGAUCUAAUUAAGGUUUCAAGACACUGAAAGGUAAGCACUUUAAUAAUUUUAGAUUAAUUUUACUUUUCAUAUAUAGAAAAAUGGAAGAAUACUAACAUAUCUAUUAAAUUUUCAGUUUUGUUUUGAUUUCACCUUGAAGUACUAGAUACUUCUCAAAGAGCCUAUUUGAACCAAAAUUGUAACAACUUCAUUGAAGGGUAUCAGGGGUCACAUUCUACCGCCAGUUAAAUUUAUACAGCUUCAGGGAUGCAGCAGAGGGCAGGAUUUCCCUCAUAAUUUGAAUCGACUAAACACCUGUUAUCUGGAGAAAGGCACAAAUGAUAAGGAAUUGGAUACUACCUCAAAUGUAAUAAAAAUAUGUCUUCAGAAGCAACUAAAGCAGAACACAAAACAUAUUGCUACUGUAGUUGUGCACAUCUGCACAUCAGAAAUUAGAAACUGCCCCUAACAGACAAUGAGCCAUGGCUCCCUAUUUGGAAGCUAUUGGCAGAGCUGUUCAACCUGUUUACUUGCUCAAACACAAAAUGAUCUCUUAAAUUGCUAAAACAGAUUGUAGAGAAAAUUGGCAAGAGAAGAUGUUAACAUGGCCCAGGGCUUCAUUUGUAGGAUUCGCAGUGCAAAGCCUGCAGAUACUUGUCUCCAAUGGCUUUUUUUCCUCCAUUGAAUUGAAGUGAAGGAGAAGAAUAGGGAACAGGAGAAAAUAACAACAACAUCAGUGUCUACAUUUCAACCACCCAUCAAACCAACCAUCAACAAAGAGACUGGCUUUCAGAAAUUGAAGGGAAGCCAUAUGAGGAGUGUCUGAGGUCAAUUCAUCUGUUUAACCUGGAGGAGACUGAGAUCUCAUUGCAUUGUACCACUUCCUUGUGAGAGGAGGAGGAGGGGUAGGCACUGAUCUUCUCUCUUUGGUGACCAGGGACAGAACCUGACGGAAUGGCCUGAAGUUGCGUCAGGAGAGGUUUAGGUUGGGUAUUAAAAAAAGGUUCUUCCCUCAGAGGGUGGUUGAGCACUGGAACAGGCUCC
Corapipo altera (White-ruffed manakin) is the source of this 3307-nucleotide long non-coding RNA. RefSeq lists it as uncharacterized. The transcript is spliced from 3 exons. The record is from RefSeq and is a predicted model, not a curated record. NCBI's taxonomy places the organism in Eukaryota, Metazoa, Chordata, Aves, Passeriformes, Pipridae.